UCCCCUUUAGCUCAGUUGGUAGAGCAAAUGACUGUUAAUCAUUGGGUCGCAGGUUCGAGCCCUGCAGGGGGAG
This 73-nucleotide transfer RNA is filed under the name Leptospiraceae bacterium. Its description in RNAcentral is "tRNA-Asn". It matches the Rfam family "tRNA". Rfam says of the family: Transfer RNA (tRNA) molecules are approximately 80 nucleotides in length. Their secondary structure includes four short double-helical elements and three loops (D, anti-codon, and T loops). Lineage: Bacteria; Pseudomonadati; Spirochaetota; Leptospiria; Leptospirales; Leptospiraceae. The record is from RNAcentral.